CCAAAUGAGGAAAUCGAAGGGAAGCGGCGAGAUUAGAAGCUCCCGGGAGCGCCGUAGACGCAUACAGAUGAUAUGCACAAACACGACCACGUCUGGAAAUACGAUGCCACAAGUUCUUCGACCUUGGGGCCGUUCGCCACGUGCGCCAACUCUUCGCCAUUGUCUCCAGACCUGAUCUAUUAUUGUUCAAUGUCGUUGUUAGAGGCUAAUCUUCGAUCUCUCUGUCUAUACCCAUUUAAGAAAUGAAAAGACUGAUAUUAGGCCAGACAAUUUUACUUGUGCAUUUACGAUUUCAGCUGCUUCGAGGUUUGAGGAUGAGAGGAUUGGCGUCUUGUUGCAAGCGCAUUCCAUUGUUGGUGGGGCGGCGUCAAAUUUGUUUGUUGGGUAUGUAAUCGUUGAUUUGUACAUCAAAUUUACGCGCGCCGAGUUGGCGCGCAAGGUGUUUGAUGUUGUGCUUGAGAGGGAUACGGUUCUUUGGAACACAGAGAACCCGAUGUCUAUUGAAGUCAAGCUGAAGCAUAAGGACAAGAGUGUCAAAAGAUAGGCUUGAUAAGAGCCAAAUAGGGCCUCGGGACUUAACCUCAAAAGUCGGAGUUUCAGUCUGAAUUUUGGCGUAUGAUCUAGGCCAAAUUUGAUUUCAAGUCUGAAUCGCUAAGUCCGCAGCUUUCAAAUCAGUUGUUCAUAAACAUCAUCGAUGUUGAAUAUUAACUUGCUGUGCUGCAGGUACGCAGCUGGUCAUGCUUAAAGCAUGGCUUUGCAUUCUCUUGCUUCAGAAAUUGUGUGAAUCCAGUAAUAGUUAUUUGCAAAGGAGAAUAAAUGGUCUUGGCUAGGUACCACAGCUGUUGAGGGUUUUGGAAGUGAAUUGUCUACUAUGUUUGCAUGAAGAAUCGAUAUUUAUUCUCUUCUAUAUUUAUAUUUUUGGAUACUAAGGGGAUCAGAUUGCUGCAUUUAAGAAAAAAAUUUAAAGAAUGCGUCUCCAAGAAUGUUAAUCCUUGAGGUCCCUUUGUUUUCAUCACAAACGGAUCAAUUCGGACCCAAAGCAAGGAGAAGAUCGAAGCCAACAGCACCGACCAUAUGACGACUAUAGUCGGUGUGCGGUUUUGUCGGCCCAUCAGACCCUUAAGGAAUG
Long non-coding RNA from Cucurbita moschata (crookneck pumpkin), 1129 nucleotides. RefSeq lists it as uncharacterized. Lineage: Eukaryota; Viridiplantae; Streptophyta; Magnoliopsida; Cucurbitales; Cucurbitaceae. The record is from RefSeq and is a predicted model, not a curated record. The transcript has 3 exons.